CACGUAGGGCGCAAGCGUUGUCCGGAAUUACUGGGCGUAAAGAGCUCGUAGGUGGUUUGUCGCGUUGUCCGUGAAAACUCACAGCUCAACUGUGGGCGUGCGGGCGAUACGGGCAGGCUAGAGUCCGGUAGGGGAGACUGGAAUUCCUGGUGUAGCGGUGAAAUGCGCAGAUAUCAGGAGGAACACCGGUGGCGAAGGCGGGUCUCUGGGCCGAUACUGACGCUGAGGAGCGAAAGCGUGGGGAGCGAACAGG
This 253-nucleotide ribosomal RNA is filed under the name uncultured bacterium. Its description in RNAcentral is "partial 16S ribosomal RNA". It matches the Rfam family "Bacterial small subunit ribosomal RNA", at positions 524 to 776 of the family's 1533-position model. The record is from RNAcentral.